GCGCCAGUCGAAUAGCGGCAAUUUCACGACGCUGUAAACGUCGCGCCUUCGGGCUACGGGGGUUCGAGUCCCUCCUGGCGCA
Molecule: transfer RNA, 82 nt
Filed under: Nanobdellota archaeon
Lineage: Archaea; Nanobdellati; Nanobdellota
Description: tRNA-Tyr
Rfam family: tRNA
About the family: Transfer RNA (tRNA) molecules are approximately 80 nucleotides in length.
Source: RNAcentral